GACGAACGCUGGCGGCGUGCUUAACACAUGCAAGUCGAACGGAAAGGCCCUGCUUUUGUGGGGUUCUCGAGUGGCGAACGGGUGAGUAACACGUGAGUAACCUGCCCUUGUCUUUGGGAUAACUUCAGGGAACUGGGGCUAAUACCGGAUAGGAGCUCCUGCUGCAUGGUGGGGGUUGGAAAGUUUCGGCGUUUGGGGAUGGACUCGCGGCUUAUCAGCUUGUUGGUGGGGUAGUGGCUUACCAAGGCUUUGACGGGUAGCCGGCCUGAGAGGGUGACCGGCCACAUUGGGACUGAGAGACGGCGCAGACUCCUACGGGAGGCAGUAGUGGGGAAUAUUGCACAAUGGGCGGAAGCCAGAUGCAGCAACGCCGCGUGCGGGAUGACGGCCUUCGGGUUGUAAACCGCUUUCGCCUGUGACGAAGCGUGAGUGACGGUAAUGGGUAAAGAAGCACCGGCUAACUACGUG
Molecule: ribosomal RNA, 468 nt
Filed under: uncultured bacterium
Lineage: Bacteria
Description: partial 16S ribosomal RNA
Rfam family: Bacterial small subunit ribosomal RNA
Source: RNAcentral